CCUACGGGAGGCAGCAGUGAGGAAUAUUGGUCAAUGGGCGUAAGCCUGAACCAGCCAAGUCGCGUGAGGGAUGAAGGUUCUAUGGAUCGUAAACCUCUUUUGUCAGGGAACAAAGGCGGGGACGUGUCCCCGGAUGAGUGUACCUGAAGAAAAAGCAUCGGCUAACUCCGUGCCAGCAGCCGCGGUAAUACGGAGGAUGCGAGCGUUAUCCGGAUUUAUUGGGUUAAAAGGGUGCGCAGGCGGUCUGUUAAGUCAGCGGUAAAAGCCCGGGGCUCAACCCCGGCCCGCCGUUGAAACUGGCAGUCUCGAGUUGGAGAGAAGUAUGCGGAAUGCGCGGUGUAGCGGUGAAAUGCAUAGAUAUCGCGCAGAACUCCGAUUGCGAAGGCAGCAUGCCGGCUCCACACUGACGCUGAGGCACGAAAGCGUGGGUAUCGAACAGGAUUAGAUACCCUUGUAGUC
RNAcentral lists this ribosomal RNA (459 nucleotides) under uncultured bacterium. Its description in RNAcentral is "partial 16S ribosomal RNA". It matches the Rfam family "Bacterial small subunit ribosomal RNA", at positions 338 to 795 of the family's 1533-position model. The record is from RNAcentral.